AGCCUUUCUAUUAGGAGUUGGGAAAUCCUACAGCACUUGCCUUCAGCAAUAACAGCAUCAACCACAGAGUAUGAACAUCCAGAUAAAAUGUCCAAGAGAAAAAAUAGACAACUGAAAAAGACCCAUAGUUGAUCCAGGCAUUAUACAGAUCUAACUUGUCCUUCUGGUUCAAGGGACUGGCUGGCUCUAGCUCUGCCCUUGCAGAUGAAUUCCAACUUGUAGAGAUGGCUGCACUGGCCUACUGGAGGAGGAAGAUGUGUGACCAAGUCACUCUCAUGAUCUCAGCUGAUGAGUCAACCCCCAGAAGUAGAAGGAGCAGCUAAACCCAGAAGCAUGCGUUUGAAAGACAGCAUCCACUGGUUGGAAUGUCAAGUAUUCCCCUGGGAAGAACAAUGGAAUGCAGAAUAAAGAUAAGUAAUUCCAUGUACUUGGGUGACUUAU
Molecule: long non-coding RNA, 441 nt
Organism: Suricata suricatta (meerkat)
Lineage: Eukaryota; Metazoa; Chordata; Mammalia; Carnivora; Herpestidae
Exons: 5
Source: RefSeq, a predicted model, not a curated record